UACAGAGGGUGCGAGCGUUGUUCGGAAUUAUUGGGCGUAAAGGGCGCGUAGGCGGUGCCACAAGUCACUUGUGAAAUCUCCGGGCUUAACUCGGAGCCUGCAGGCGAAACUGUGGUGCUGGAGUGUGGGAGAGGUGCGUGGAAUUCCCGGUGUAGCGGUGAAAUGCGUAGAUAUCAGGAGGAAUACCUGUGGCGAAAGCGGCGCACUGGACCACAACUGACGCUGAGGCGCGAAAGCUAGGGGAGCAAACAGG
Molecule: ribosomal RNA, 253 nt
Filed under: uncultured bacterium
Lineage: Bacteria
Description: partial 16S ribosomal RNA
Rfam family: Bacterial small subunit ribosomal RNA
Source: RNAcentral